GUGGGGAAUUUUGGACAAUGGGCGCAAGCCUGAUCUAGCCAUGCCGCGUGAGUGAUGAAGGCCCUAGGGUUGUAAAGCUCUUUCAGCUGGGAAGAUAAUGACGGUACCAGCAGAAGAAGCCCCGGCUAACUCCGUGCCAGCAGCCGCGGUAAUACGGAGGGGGCUAGCGUUGUUCGGAAUUACUGGGCGUAAAGCGCGCGUAGGCGGACUGAAAAGUUGGGGGUGAAAUCCCGGGGCUCAACCUCGGAACUGCCUUCAAAACUAUCAGUCUGGAGUUCGAGAGGGGUGAGUGGAAUUCCGAGUGUAGAGGUGAAAUUCGUAGAUAUUCGGAGGAACACCAGUGGCGAAGGCGGCUCACUGGCUCGAUACUGACGCUGAGGUGCGAAAGCGUGGGGAGCAAACAGGAUUAGAAACCCGGGUAGUCC
RNAcentral lists this ribosomal RNA (425 nucleotides) under uncultured bacterium. Its description in RNAcentral is "partial 16S ribosomal RNA". It matches the Rfam family "Bacterial small subunit ribosomal RNA", at positions 354 to 796 of the family's 1533-position model. The record is from RNAcentral.